Pseudoliparis swirei is the source of this 291-nucleotide long non-coding RNA. RefSeq lists it as uncharacterized. The record is from RefSeq and is a predicted model, not a curated record. NCBI's taxonomy places the organism in Eukaryota, Metazoa, Chordata, Actinopteri, Perciformes, Liparidae. The transcript is spliced from 3 exons.
GAAAUACUGAGCCAUGGUCCACACCAGCAUGCCACCCCAGUCGUGACCCACCAGGGUGACCCGAGGAAUCGCCUGCAAAUAGACAACUAGUUGCUGUGUGACUGGAGGUUCACCUGGAGGCGCUGUGGACCCUCCGUACCCCUUCAUGUCCAGAGCCAGCACCCGGAACCCGGCUGCAGCCAGGGCUGGGAUCUACCAGAGGGGUCAGGGAGAGAUGAACCCGCUGCGGCCCUCACCUGGACCCCGGUGAAGAGGGCCAGCUGGUCCAAGGCGUGGUCCAGCUGUUCCACC